This 814-nucleotide non-coding RNA is filed under the name Aciculitermes aciculatus. Lineage: Eukaryota; Metazoa; Arthropoda; Insecta; Blattodea; Termitidae. The record is from RNAcentral.
UAUAAGUUUUAUUCUUGCUUAUGUUCAUUCAGUUUUUGUUUAUUUUAUAUGUAAGUGUGUGCGUGAUUUUUCCUUAAGGCUCUAAAUGGGCUAGAGGUGUAAUAUUUUAUUUCUCAUUAGUUAUUAUUAGUUGAUCAAGUAUUCUUGUAUUUAGUAAUGCAUUUUAGUUUCGGUUAAAUUUUGUGCCAGCAGCCGCGGUUAUACCUUGGAAGCAUUUGAAUGGGUUUGGUAUUAAAGGUAGUUAUUUGUUUAUUUUGGUUGGUUUUAUUUGGAUGAUUUUUAGGUGAAAUUUUUAUUUUUUUGUUUAUCUUUAUUUAAGUUUGGAGGCUAUGAAAUUUUAUUGUUAAACUAGGAUUAGAUACCCUAUUAUUUUGGAAUGUUAAAGGUUUUACCCGAGUAGUAUUAGUUAUGUUCUUGAAACUUAAAGAAUUUGGCGGUAUCUCAUUCCUUCUAGAGGAAUCUGUCUCGUUAUCGAUAGUCCACGUUGGACCUUACUUAAUUGAAUAUGGUUUGUAUACCGCCGUUUAUUGAUUAUCUUUUUAGGGGUUAUUUUAAUUUUCUGGUUUCUUUAUUUUGAUGUAUUUCAGGUCAAGGUGCAGCUUGUUUUUAAGUGGAAUGAUGGAUUACAUUGUUAUUUGUUUUUGGAUUGUUGGUUUUAAUAUUGGUAUGAAAUUGGAUUUAGUUGUAAUAGUUUGUAGAUUGUUAUUAUGAUAGUUGGUUCUGAGAUAUGUACACAUCGCCCGUCGCUCUCGUUUUAUUAUAAUGAGAUAAGUCGUAACAAAGUGGUUGUACCGGAAGGUGUAGCUGGAUUGAU